AAGGGUGAUAAAUGCUAGAAAACACCCGCGAAAUGGCGGGCAUCCAGAGCGUGGUUGAAAGUAUGUAAUGUGUUGUAGGAUGAUUUUUUUGUAAAAGAAUUAAUGACUGGAGAAUUUCAGGAAAGGUAAUAAAAGUUAUAGGCACUUGGGGACAGGACAAUUGUUUUUUAACCCCUUCUCCUUUUUUCGGGCCAAAAUUUCCAAUUUUUGUUUUCUAUUUAUUUCAAAAUGAACAUACGUUUAGUAUGUGAUGAACAAACAUUACUAUAAAUAAAG
This 276-nucleotide long non-coding RNA is filed under the name Mytilus galloprovincialis (Mediterranean mussel). Lineage: Eukaryota; Metazoa; Mollusca; Bivalvia; Mytilida; Mytilidae. The record is from RNAcentral.